This 21-nucleotide non-coding RNA is filed under the name Arabidopsis thaliana (thale cress). Lineage: Eukaryota; Viridiplantae; Streptophyta; Magnoliopsida; Brassicales; Brassicaceae. The record is from RNAcentral.
GCCAGAAUGGUCUGCCUGGUC